UACGUAGGGUGCGAGCGUUAAUCGGAAUUACUGGGCGUAAAGCGUGCGUAGGCGGUUCUCCAAGUCCGUUGUGAAAGCCCCGGGCUCAACCUGGGAAUGGCAGUGGAAACUAGGGGACUGGAAUCUGGCAGAGGGGGGUGGAAUGCCGCGUGUAGCAGUGAAAUGCGUAGAUAUGUGGAGGAAUACCGAUGGCGAAGGCAGCCCCCUGGGAUAACACUGACGCUCAUGCACGAAAGCGUGGGGAGCAAACAGG
This 253-nucleotide ribosomal RNA is filed under the name uncultured bacterium. Its description in RNAcentral is "partial 16S ribosomal RNA". It matches the Rfam family "Bacterial small subunit ribosomal RNA", at positions 524 to 776 of the family's 1533-position model. The record is from RNAcentral.